GGGUUUAGGAUUUAGGAUUUUAAAAUUUAAGGUUUAGGGUUUUGUGUCCUGGGUUUGGGGUUGAGGAUUUUUGGGGUUUUGGAUUUUUAAGGAUUAGGUUUUUUAGGGUUUAAGGUUUAGGAUUUGAGGAUGUAGGGUUUAGGAUUUAGGGUUUGGGGGUUUAGGGUUUAGGGGUUAGGAUUUUAUAGUUUUAGGAUUUAGGGUUUUAGGUUUUAGGAUUUAGAAUUUUGAGGUUUUGGAUUUUGGGUUUAGGGUCUUAGGGUUAGGGUUUAGGUUUUAGGGUUU
Molecule: long non-coding RNA, 285 nt
Filed under: Elaeis guineensis (African oil palm)
Lineage: Eukaryota; Viridiplantae; Streptophyta; Magnoliopsida; Arecales; Arecaceae
Description: long non-coding RNA (EGUI_LNC008925)
Source: RNAcentral